UGCCUAGUUUCACCUCUAAAGCCCACAUCGAAAUGAAAAUCCAGCACUUAAUUUAGAAACCUAAUCAAUAUUGGUAAACAUUAACCGACUCUUUAACCCGGCAUAGCACAGACGGCGAAGCUCCCUCACCGCCUUGUAUCAUCCUUGGUCUUCGGCCGAUGACUAUUAAAGUACAGAGAAUGCUUCUUCUUUAGUUCACUGUUCCCCCAAUUCAAAACGACACUUCUAGUCUUCAGUUCACAUUUCUUCGUUCUUCUUCUUCUUAUUUUUGCCCUCCCCUCGUCGUCCUCGUCCUCUCAGUUCUGUUUCUCCCUCCGGGCCGGACCUUCCCUGGCUGCUGCAAGUCAUUCUUCUUGGUGCAUCCCUGAGUGUGAUUCUAGCCGCAUAUUUUUCUCACUGCACCGAUUGAAAAUACAUCAUCCCUCAAGAUUAUCAACUUAAAGAUCUAUUGAUUCUAGUUAAAAGCAAGAUUUCUGGUUGAGUUUGGACCAACACGUUUUGGGUUUGGUACUUUGGUUGGGAAUUGGUGGGUUUGCUUCAUCAAUUUCAAUUGUGAUUCUCUACAAUUGGCGAUGGAGGAAAGGUCUCCUUCUAAGGGACGCUACCUCCCGUCCCAAGCGGCCUUUUAAGGCGUACACAACCUCCGAUCCCAUUCACAGCUGUUUUGAAUUUUGCAGCCAAGGAAUUUAAAGACCCUCCCCAAACCAGCGCUAUCAUCACCAACGGUAGUCCAAGUUGAUCUAGGACUGCUGGGAGGCGGAAAUUCUCAAAAAAACGUGACUGACUCUGGCCCUGGGUUGUGUACUGGUCUGUGCUCAAUUUGCUGCCUCUGUUGGACGUCCUAGUUUGGCCCAACAGCACUAUGUCUAUUAUUGAUAGCCAUCCAUUUAUUAUCACUUGUACUAAAAUGAUGGAAAUACUUUUUUGUUUAGUUUGAAUAGCUGAACCAGAGACAUUUCCUUGAGCCUAGAUUAUAAGGAUAGGGAGGUUCGCUACUUCCUUUUGGUUUUGUUCAAAGUUUUGAGGUUAGGCGUAGGUAUAUCACUUUUCCCUACAUGAUGUUCUAAUUCUUGUGGCUAUGAGGGAAAAGGAAACCAGUUACAAAAUAAAUCAAACAUUUCAGAUUAACCUCCGAAAGCAUUUAAUAGAUCGGUGAGUUUUUAUAUUCACAUGUAUAGCUUUAUUUUCUAUGUAAAUUUUCCUGUUGCUGAUAGAUGAUGCUUGAUAAAAUAUAUCAAAACACUGUCAGUUAGUAUUAGAUUUCCUUUUUUCCCUUCUUAUUUUUGGAUUUUGUGUGGUGUGGGUGUCAGGUGGGUAGGUGGGGAAUGCCUGUCAGGGGAGCAAGAGGUUGACUUUAAUUAGUUUUAUCACCUAUUGGAUUGUCUAUGGUAUAAUAGAAUCCGGAGUUUAUCAUCUUUUCAUAGGAAGUUUUUAUCCUUUUUUCAUGUAAAAUUAAAUUUAUAAUUGGUUACAAUUGGUGUGGAUAUGGUAAUUGCAAAUUCUUCUUUUCUAAAUGUUGCUUCCCUCUCUGUUUCUCUUGGUUUUGCAAUGCCAAUGUGCAUGAUUUGAGGAGAUUUAUCAUUUGUUAGAUAAAACCUAACAUCUUAGUUUGCAGGCCCAAUGGAACAAAUAAAAAAUUUCGCUUAAAAUCAGCAAUUUUUUUUUAAAUGAUAAUUACAUAUUGUCAGGUUGACUUCCAUUGACUGUCAACAUGUUUCUUCGAGGAAAGCACUCGCAGAAUCUUCAAGAGAAUGAUGCUGUACAACGAAUGCGAAGGUAAUAACAAAUAUGGAUGGACAUCUUGAAUAUCUUUCAUUUUCCCCGUAAUUGUUUGUGGUCGAUGUACAUUUUACCCAAUAACAUAUUUGAUAGCUAUUUCAGUUCCCAUUUACUAUCCAUUACAAGUUGCUUACACCUCAUGAUCAAAUGUUGAUUUUGUUGCUUCAUCCAGCAUCAUGGUUACAGUAAAAACUGAGUUUCAUGGAUCAUUUUGCCAGAAUAUUUUGAGAACAAAGUAGAAGAGUUAAACCUUAUAUCAAUUUAAUUAUUUCAUCUGCAUUGAUAUGAUGUUUCAAUUUCACUUGACCAAGAU
Hevea brasiliensis (rubber tree) is the source of this 2092-nucleotide long non-coding RNA. RefSeq lists it as uncharacterized. The record is from RefSeq and is a predicted model, not a curated record. NCBI's taxonomy places the organism in Eukaryota, Viridiplantae, Streptophyta, Magnoliopsida, Malpighiales, Euphorbiaceae. The transcript is spliced from 5 exons.